This 66-nucleotide transfer RNA is filed under the name Semibalanus balanoides (northern acorn barnacle). RNAcentral describes it as "tRNA-Glu". The record is from RNAcentral. Lineage: Eukaryota; Metazoa; Arthropoda; Thecostraca; Balanomorpha; Balanidae.
AUCUUAGUAGUGUAUCUAACACACUUCAUUUUCGUUGACGAGAAGAAAAACCUUUUUCCUAAGAUA